Long non-coding RNA from Cygnus olor (mute swan), 1134 nucleotides. RefSeq lists it as uncharacterized. The transcript is spliced from 3 exons. The record is from RefSeq and is a predicted model, not a curated record. NCBI's taxonomy places the organism in Eukaryota, Metazoa, Chordata, Aves, Anseriformes, Anatidae.
GUAGUAGUUCAUUUAAAGGAAAGGGAAAAAGCUGAGAAUGGGAAGUCUUCAGUGAGAGAAGCUGAGACAAAACUCCAGGCCAGGACUGUGAAAUCCAAUCAUUCCUGAGAGCCCCACGAAAUCAGCUUUGCUUGCAGCUGCUCACGCCACCACUGAUUCUUGCUGUUGCUUUUUCAGCACGUAACAGGGGAACAAGUACACCUAAUCUGGUACUCUGCUUCACAGUGAGCUCUGUGAAUAGGAUCACAGAGAGGCUCAACGGACCAUAGAGAUGCUCUCAUUAGAAAUCCUCUCAUUAACAAAAGAGUUCCAGGAAAUAAAUCAAAUUAAAACUCAGAGCAAGUUUUGCUUGCACCUUCCAUGCAAGUUAUGGUGGCCAUGUGGAAAGAAUGAACUCAUGGGAAAGAGAUGAGUUGCUCUGCGCUGUGGAUAAAACUACUGGAUUUUAAACCAGUUUGUCUGCUAAGCCCGUAUUAUACUGAAGAUGACAUUGAGGACUUCCAACCCAUUUUGAACCAUUUGCCACGUCUUUCUAUUCUACUUUAUUCUGCAGAACUGGAAAACUUUUCUUGCACAUCCAUAUUGCACAAACCACUUUGGUGCGUAUCAGCCCUUAUCCAAAUUCUCUUUGAAAUACCAUUUUUAUUGAAUUCUAAUGGCAGUCUAUUCCUGCACACUUUAAAUAUUGCAUGAUUACCUUGCUAUGGAGUAUCUUGAGGCUGAUGAAUUUCAGAUAAGGAGCUGAAAAAAAUACAUAUUUAUAAUUAAACUAACUAAUAAACUGUAAAGCUUGUAACAUAUCUUAGCUAGUACAGUCUUUGUAUUGCACUUAAAAUCAUGACUAGAACAAGAAGGGCCACACAAAUAUAUGGCUCUUCCUGUUAAAGGAAUAGCUGCAUUUUAGGAAGAUCAGUGAUCGUGCUUAUCACACAGAUCACAUGCCAUAUACUGUCAGUGCAUUAAAGAAUCACGCAGAGAAAUAGAUCUGAAAUAUAAUCAUCUCUUUUGUUGUCAGCAUCAAUCAUGUCUUUUCAGCUUUUCUUUCAGGAACGAUUCGACUGGUUGGGAACUAACUGUUGGGUUUAUUAUUUCACUUUAAUUUACUUCACUAUAAAUAUACCUCAUGGUCAUGCA